AGCAAACGCUGGCGGCGUGCCUAAUACAUGCAAGUCGAACGGGGAAAGUAGCAAUAUGAGUACUAGUGGCGCACGGGUGAGGAGCGCGUGGGUAAUCUGCCUUCGAGCGGGGGAUAACUAGUCGAAAGACUAGCUAAUACCGCAUAAGACCACAAGAUCUGCGGAUCUAGGGGUCAAAGCAGCAAUGCACUUGAAGAUGAGCCCGCGUAAGAUUAGCUAGUUGGUGAGGUAACGGCUCACCAAGGCGAUGAUCUUUAGCUGGUCUGAGAGGAUGAUCAGCCACACUGGAACUGAGACACGGUCCAGACUCCUACGGGAGGCAGCAGUAGGGAAUAUUGCGCAAUGGGGGCAACCCUGACGCAGUGACGCCGCGUGAGUGAUGAAGGCCUUCGGGUCGUAAAGCUCUGUUAUAUGGGAAUAAGUUCUGAAUGUACCAUGUGAGAAAGGAUCGGCUAACUUCGUGCCAGCCGCCGCCGUAA
Molecule: ribosomal RNA, 479 nt
Filed under: uncultured bacterium
Lineage: Bacteria
Description: partial 16S ribosomal RNA
Rfam family: Bacterial small subunit ribosomal RNA
Source: RNAcentral